RNAcentral lists this ribosomal RNA (497 nucleotides) under uncultured bacterium. RNAcentral's name for it is "partial 16S ribosomal RNA". It matches the Rfam family "Bacterial small subunit ribosomal RNA", at positions 28 to 507 of the family's 1533-position model. The record is from RNAcentral.
GAUGAACGCUGGCGGCGUGCCUAAUACAUGCAAGUCGAGCGAACAGACGAGGAGCUUGCUCCUCUGACGUUAGCGGCGGACGGGUGAGUAACACGUGGAUAACCUACCUAUAAGACUGGGAUAACUUCGGGAAACCGGAGCUAAUACCGGAUAAUAUAUUGAACCGCAUGGUUCAAUAGUGAAAGACGGUUUUGCUGUCACUUAUAGAUGGAUCCGCGCCGCAUUAGCUAGUUGGUAAGGUAACGGCUUACCAAGGCGACGAUGCGUAGCCGACCUGAGAGGGUGAUCGGCCAAAGUAGAACUGAGAAACGGUCCAGACGUCUAAAGGAGGCAGCAGUAGGGAAUCUUCAGCUAGGGGCGAAAGCCUGACGGAGCAACGCCGCGUGGGUGAUGAAGGUCUUCGGAUCGUAAAACUCUGUUAUUAGGGAAGAACAAAUGUGUAAGUAACUAUGCACGUCUUGAAGGUACCUAAUCAGAAAGCCACGGCUAACUACGUG